RNAcentral lists this ribosomal RNA (570 nucleotides) under bacterium RBM-A12. RNAcentral's name for it is "bacterial SSU rRNA". It matches the Rfam family "Bacterial small subunit ribosomal RNA", at positions 68 to 633 of the family's 1533-position model. The record is from RNAcentral.
GGGAGAGGUAGCUUGCUACAUUACCUAGCGGCGGACGGGUGAGUAAUGCUUAGGAAUCUGCCUAUUAGUGGGGGACAACAUUCCGAAAGGAAUGCUAAUACCGCAUACGCCCUACGGGGGAAAGCAGGGGAUCUUCGGACCUUGCGCUAAUAGAUGAGCCUAAGUCAGAUUAGCUAGUUGGUGGGGUAAAGGCCUACCAAGGCGACGAUCUGUAGCGGGUCUGAGAGGAUGAUCCGCCACACUGGGACUGAGACACGGCCCAGACUCCUACGGGAGGCAGCAGUGGGGAAUAUUGGACAAUGGGCGAAAGCCUGAUCCAGCCAUGCCGCGUGUGUGAAGAAGGCCUUUUGGUUGUAAAGCACUUUAAGCGAGGAGGAGGCUACUUGGAUUAAUACUCUAGGAUAGUGGACGUUACUCGCAGAAUAAGCACCGGCUAACUCUGUGCCAGCAGCCGCGGUAAUACAGAGGGUGCGAGCGUUAAUCGGAUUUACUGGGCGUAAAGCGUGCGUAGGCGGCUUUUUAAGUCGGAUGUGAAAUCCCUGAGCUUAACUUAGGAAUUGCAUUCGAUAC